This 76-nucleotide transfer RNA is filed under the name Parcubacteria group bacterium ADurb.Bin016. RNAcentral's name for it is "tRNA-Lys". It matches the Rfam family "tRNA". Rfam says of the family: Transfer RNA (tRNA) molecules are approximately 80 nucleotides in length. The record is from RNAcentral. RNAcentral also lists the same sequence under 2 other names.
GCGCCGUUAGCUCAGGUGGUAGAGCAACUGCCUUUUAAGCAGAUGGUCACAGGUUCGAAUCCUGUACGGCGUACCA